RNAcentral lists this ribosomal RNA (468 nucleotides) under uncultured bacterium. Its description in RNAcentral is "partial 16S ribosomal RNA". It matches the Rfam family "Bacterial small subunit ribosomal RNA", at positions 28 to 507 of the family's 1533-position model. The record is from RNAcentral.
GACGAACGCUGGCGGCGUGCUUAACACAUGCAAGUCGAACGGAAAGGCCCUGCUUUUGUGGGGUGCUCGAGUGGCGAACGGGUGAGUAACACGUGAGUAACCUGCCCUUGACUUUGGGAUAACUUCAGGAAACUGGGGCUAAUACCGGAUAGGAGCUCCUGCUGCAUGGUGGGGGUUGGAAAGUUUCGGCGGUUGGGGAUGGACUCGCGGCUUAUCAGCUUGUUGGUGGGGUAGUGGCUUACCAAGGCUUUGACGGGUAGCCGGCCUGAGAGGGUGACCGGCCACAUUGGGACUGAGAUACGGCCCAGACUCCUACGGGAGGCCGCAGUGGGGAAUAUUGCACAAUGGGCGGAAGCCUUAUGCAGCAACGCCGCGUGCGGGAUGACGGCCUUCGGGUUGUAAACCGCUUUCGCCUGUGACGAAGCGUGAGUGACGGUAAUGGGUAAAGAAGCACCGGCUAACUACGUG